AAUUUUUUCAGACAAGCUGUUAGUACAACCAUAACUAUACAGGAAGUUUUAUUAUGUAGUGGGUAAUUCUCUUAAUAGAUCACAAAACACCGGCACUAUACACACACUGUUUUAAUCACUUGAGUUAGCAAAAAUGGUGUCUAGCAUACAACUCUGGACUAUAGUCGCCUCUGUAAGGACACCUGUAAAUAAAACAGUAUCCAUAGUGUGCAGUAUGUUGUUUUUUCUAAGAAAACUGGAUAACUGGAGUAUAAGAGGAAGAAGUGACAGGCCCCCAAAAAACCUCUCCACAGCAAGUCAUGGCCUAAUGGUGCAGGCUUCAAGCGAGUGGCCA
This is a long non-coding RNA of Oreochromis aureus, 334 nucleotides long. NCBI's taxonomy places the organism in Eukaryota, Metazoa, Chordata, Actinopteri, Cichliformes, Cichlidae. The record is from Ensembl.